GAACUGAAGAGUUUGAUCAUGGCUCAGAUUGAACGCUGGCGGCAGGCCUAACACAUGCAAGUCGAGCGGAUGAAGGGAGCUUGCUCCUGGAUUCAGCGGCGGACGGGUGAGUAAUGCCUAGGAAUCUGCCUGGUAGUGGGGGAUAACGUCCGGAAACGGGCGCUAAUACCGCAUACGUCCUGAGGGAGAAAGUGGGGGAUCUUCGGACCUCACGCUAUCAGAUGAGCCUAGGUCGGAUUAGCUAGUUGGUGGGGUAAAGGCCUACCAAGGUGACGAUCCGUAACUGGUCUGAGAGGAUGAUCAGUCACACUGGAACUGAGACACGGUCCAGACUCCUACGGGAGGCAGCAGUGGGGAAUAUUGGACAAUGGGCGAAAGCCUGAUCCAGCCAUGCCGCGUGUGUGAAGAAGGUCUUCGGAUUGUAAAGCACUUUAAGUUGGGAGGAAGGGCAGUAAGUUAAUACCUUGCUGUUUUGACGUUACCAACAGAAUAAGCACCGG
This 500-nucleotide ribosomal RNA is filed under the name Pseudomonas aeruginosa. Its description in RNAcentral is "bacterial SSU rRNA". It matches the Rfam family "Bacterial small subunit ribosomal RNA", at positions 1 to 496 of the family's 1533-position model. The record is from RNAcentral. Lineage: Bacteria; Pseudomonadati; Pseudomonadota; Gammaproteobacteria; Pseudomonadales; Pseudomonadaceae.